Molecule: ribosomal RNA, 253 nt
Filed under: uncultured bacterium
Lineage: Bacteria
Description: partial 16S ribosomal RNA
Rfam family: Bacterial small subunit ribosomal RNA
Source: RNAcentral
UACGAAGGGGGCUAGCGUUGUUCGGAAUUACUGGGCGUAAAGCGCACGUAGGCGGACAUUUAAGUCAGGGGUGAAAUCCCAGAGCUCAACUCUGGAACUGCCUUUGAUACUGGGUGUCUUGAGUAUGGAAGAGGUGAGUGGAAUUCCGAGUGUAGAGGUGAAAUUCGUAGAUAUUCGGAGGAACACCAGUGGCGAAGGCGGCUCACUGGUCCAUUACUGACGCUGAGGAGCGAAAGCGUGGGGAGCGAACAGG